Hydra vulgaris (swiftwater hydra) is the source of this 422-nucleotide long non-coding RNA. RefSeq lists it as uncharacterized. The record is from RefSeq and is a predicted model, not a curated record. NCBI's taxonomy places the organism in Eukaryota, Metazoa, Cnidaria, Hydrozoa, Anthoathecata, Hydridae.
CAAAUUUAUUUCGUUUUCUCUUAAUCUUUACAAUAAAAUUAAAAAAAAUACACAUGGUUGUCUUGUUCCGUCGGACGACCAUAAGAGUACACCGCUGCAUUAUAUUUUAGAGAAAUCACUUAAAUUUCAAGAUAAGCAAAGGAUAUAUAUUUCAGCAGAGCCUUGAAAUCGAUAGUUAUAAAAAAAUAUAUAAAAAAAAUGCUAUGCAAAAUUAAACUUAAUUCUGGUUCUUAGCAUUGUAACCAAUACAACAUUGGUCCUGAACUUUUUCUCUAGAUGUAAAGAAAUUAAAGCCUAAAACAUGUGGUAAGCAAAUCAAUUAUGAUAGAUUAUUUUAGGCAUUACAUCACCUUACCUCUACUGAACCAUCUUAUUAAUGAGCUUGAUUGUUAAAUUUUAAACAGAUAAUGUGGUUGUUUAUA